This 198-nucleotide long non-coding RNA is filed under the name Ixodes scapularis (black-legged tick). RNAcentral's name for it is "uncharacterized LOC120846176, transcript variant X3". Lineage: Eukaryota; Metazoa; Arthropoda; Arachnida; Ixodida; Ixodidae. The record is from RNAcentral.
AGCGGGAUGUGCUACCAGGCAGCAGGGGCCAUGCAGCAUCUCCAGACCGGUGCGGAGCCAUCUAGCGAUGGAGCCUCCACCAGCAGGGAAGCAGCGGCCGGGACCUCAAGGGGAACCCUGCAGGCCUGUCUUCGGACAGCGCCCUUCACCACAACCAGCGGGAUAUGCUACCAGGCAGCAGGGGCCAUGCAGCAGCUC